RNAcentral lists this ribosomal RNA (103 nucleotides) under Mesocricetus auratus (golden hamster). Lineage: Eukaryota; Metazoa; Chordata; Mammalia; Rodentia; Cricetidae. The record is from RNAcentral.
AUCUACAACCAUACCACCCUGAACAUGCCUGAUCUCGUCUGAUCUCAGGAGCUAAGCAGGGUCAGGCCUGGUUAGUACUUGGGAGAAUAAACCCAAAUAUAUC